Molecule: long non-coding RNA, 4909 nt
Filed under: Capsicum annuum
Lineage: Eukaryota; Viridiplantae; Streptophyta; Magnoliopsida; Solanales; Solanaceae
Description: long non-coding RNA (CANN_LNC016219)
Source: RNAcentral
UGUUUUAUGAUUUCUUAAUCUUUAUCUACUUCCGAAUCCUUUCAGCUUCACCCCUCGCGCUAUGGCAUGUAACCUGUAAAUUGCAUAUGAAUUUAAGAAAAAAAAUAAUAGUAUAUGAUAGACUUUGUCAAUGCCAUUUCAAUUUCUAACGUGUAAUAAAAAAAUAGUAAAGAUAACAGAAUUUCUUAAGAGUACACGGUAAUAAUUUAUAAUUUAUUAUUGUAAACAUUAAAAACAGAAUAUAAUUUAAAAACUUACCUCAAAUCAAUUUGAUAUACCAAUUAAUAAUUAAUAAUUAUACGAUAUUUAGUACGUCCGAACUAAUAUAUCUUUUCAUGAAAACGAACGUCUCUAUUAAUAAAUUUCUUCAAAAAUAUACGAUAUAGUAGAUCAUAUUGUUAUGUAAAGUCCUACUUCCAAAAGACCCAUCAGUAUGAAAUCUAGAAGGCGUGACCUAAAGAUGAAUUUCUCAACAUAUGCAAAUAUUUUCUUAUACUUCUAAUGAUCACACUUAUACAUGUUUUAAUUUUUAAUUGAUAUAACAUAUUUCAUUUGAAAUGUUUUGCUAGAAAGGAAAAAAAAAACUCGAUAUUUCAACCCAGUUUGUGAGCUAAUCAUAAAAUAGUGUUGAUAACAUAAUCUCGAGAAUAACCUUUUUUCAAAAGGUAAAAAAUUAUCAACACCUGGUGUUUACAUCAAGCCAAUACAUACAUGCCAUGUGUUUAAAUUUAGAGUACAUUUUACUUAAUCAUAAUUAAUUAGCUUGUAUUUUAUAUUAGUAAAUUAUUUAAUCAUAAUAAAUUAUAUUAAUUUAGUGUAAACACUAAGUGUGGACAUAUUUUUACCUUUUCAAAAUAGUUUCAAAAAUUUUAUUGAAUAUUUCAGAAUAAAGAGAACAUAUGAAUUCAUUUAUUUGGAUCAAUUUGGAUGUAGAAGAGAACAAACCUCAUGAGGUAGACAUCUAUAAUCAUUAGUCUCAUAGUCCAUUGCCUCCUUAAUACUCCUGCAAGCAUCCACUAUCACCAAAGCAAAUUCCCCUCAAAAUGUCUCAAACUUCAUGUUAUUCUUGUCAACUGUUCGAUGUGUGCUUUCCCAAAAAUCAUCUAAAAAACACAGCCAAAUCAAACAAUAUUCGAUCUAGGUUCACCACUAAAGAAAGAAAAGAAUAGAAAUAAAAUAUGCACAAAUUAAACAAAUUUAGUUUUUAGUUAAGAGAAAAAAAAGCCAGUCAAAAGAUGAACAAUAAAAUUAACCCUAAUAUCUAAGAGUUUAAAAUCAAACUAAUUUUCACCACUUAAAAAAAUAACAUUUCAAUAAUUUUUUUUUUUUUUUUAAAAACCUAUGUUAUAUACUCUAUUCUCACACACCCAAUCUUUCCCUUUCUUCUAACUAUAUUAGAGGAAUAGAAAGCCAAGACUUGGGGAAUGAAGAGAAAGCCAAGAAGAAUAUUAAGACAGAUAAGUGUAGGUUAAGGAGUACCUGAAUUUUCUAAUGUUUUUCAAACAAUGAGGAAGUUCAUAGACAACUUGGUUGUCAAUUCGCUUAGUUGCUGUAUCUGAAGUGCUUAAACCUUGUAUUGAUGAAAUCACAUAAUAUUCAAUGACGAAUUUAAAAUUUUCACUAAGGAGGUUUGAAAACUAAAAAUAUAGUGAUUGAGAUAUGAACUUGAACCUAAAGGUGAAUAUUGAACUUCCUCAACUACUGAUCCAACCUCUAAUCUUACGUUCUAAAGGUUCAAAAUCAAUAAAUACACAUAGAAUAUUUUUUAAAAAUUCUAUUGAAUACGUGCCAUGAACCUAGCCAAAAAUUUGUUGGACAACAUUACAAUAAUUUCAAUCAAAUAAUCACAAAAUAAAAAUAAAUUAAAUCAGAAGAUGAAAAAAAAAAUUCACAACAAUUGACAUAUAAAAACAAUUAAAAUAGUACAUGAAAAUUCGUUUCUUACUUCAUUAUUGAAUACUUUUUCUUUGAAAUCAAGAGACACUAAUAAGGCCACGAAGAAAAUUUAUUAUCAUAUAUUGACCAUGAGAAAAAAAAAAAAACACAAACGAUUAUUAUGACCAUUAGGGUAUUAUAUUGAAAGUCCAAAAUAUAACCCUAUCAAUUAGGAUUUCUAUUUAAAAUAUAUAAUUAAUUUCUUUUCAUAAUUUCAUUUUAUAAGGUUGUUCUCAUAUAUUGUAGGAGUCCUUAAUCUUUUUAUUUUAGUUAUAAUAUUUAAUUCAAAUAAGGAAAGAAUUUGUAUAAAACAUAAGUUUAAAUUGAUAAAAAUCCUAUUCAAGUAAGGAAAGAAAUUCUAAAUUGAUUAAAAUCCUAAAAUUUAGAAGUAGUUUAAAUAAGGAAAAUUUUUUAAACUAAAAGUUAUUAGGACAAGAAUUUAAUUAAAAAUUUAUUUGAUAUAAAUAAGUUUCCCAACGUACCCUAAUUAUUUUUUUUUUUUGGGGAGAAAAACAGAAAUCAAAGUAAAAAAUUCAAUUGAGUUAAAAGUGUUAAAUAAUGAUUUAUUUUUGGAACUAAAAUCAUAAUAAACGUACAGUAGUUUUUUCAAAACUUUAAGUGAGAUUUUCUUUUUCUUUUUUACUUAAAGUUUUCUAUUAAAUCAUUUUUUGUUCUCUUAUCAUAUAUUUUAGGACUUUUUUCUCUAUAUAUUUUUAUUUUAUCAUAUAAUUUAGCUCUCCUUGCUUUUAAAUAUUAAAAGUAUAAUUAUAUAAUAAUUUAAGGAAAAUAGUGAAAAGACAAUUUCGUCUAUUGCAUAGUAUUUUAAUGAAGGACAAAAAGUUCAAAUCAUUUUUCUAAGGGCCUUCACACUUUUAAUAUACUAGUCCAGUGUACGUGCUUUGCACGUACAUCACGUCAAUAAAAAAAUCACCUACAAAAAGAUAAAAUAUAUAAUAUGUAAUUGCAAUUACAAUAUAGUAUGCAACAUUAUAUUUAUUUAAAUGAGCAAAAUAUAUAAAAUUUUAGAAUCUGACUUAAACCCAAAACACUAAAGAAUUAUACUUUACAUCCUAAAUAUUCAUAUCUACAGCAUAAAUUAAUGCAAUAAAAGUUGAGAUUAAAAAAAAUAAAUUUGAGACAAAAAUUAACGUAGUAAAAAUUAGUCGAAGAAGAGAAUGUGAAAUUAUAAUGGUAUUUUUUUUUUAUAAAAGUAUAGGAUUCAUAAAUUAAAAAAGAUACUAAUUAACAUUAUAGUAGAAUUUUUAUAUUUUAGCCAAUAUUUUUUUCCUUUACUGGAAGAACCAAAAACAAAAACAAUCGUACCACAUUUUUUUUUCUUUGGGGUAAAGUAAACGACCCCUUUUUAUUUUACAAAAUCAUAAAUAAUCGGGCUUUUAGUUUUUUGAAAAAUAGUCAUGCACACAAUAAAACACCAAAUAAAUUUUUUACCAUAAAUUUAGAAUUUUUUAUUUAUUUAUUAUAUCCAAUAUUCAAUAUAUUAUAAAUUAAAGAGAGAAAAAAGUAAAAAACAAUUUUGUCUGAAGCAGAGACUUUUAAUGAGGUGAAAAAUGUUCAAAUCACUUUUCUAUUCUUGGGAAGAGUAAAUGGGGCUUUUAUUUUUUUUGGAAAAUUGUCCUGCACAUAAAACACCAAAUAACAAUUUUACCAUAAAUUUAGCAAUUCAUUUAUUUUUUAUUUAUUUAUUGUAGCCGAUAUUCAAUAUAUUAUAAAUUAAAGAGAGAAAAAAGUAAAAAGACGAUUUUAUUUAAAAUAAAGACUUUUAAUGAGGGGCAAAAAGUUCAAAUCACUUUUCUAAGGGUCUUCACACUUUUAGUAUAUUAUAGAUUAUAGAUGUAUAUGAUAUACAUAUUUGUCUUUUCAAAAUAAAAGUUAGAGAUAGUAGGGUAAAAAAACGAAAAAACCGAAAAAAACAAAAAGAAAAAAAGAAAAAAAAAACGAAAAAAGAAAAGUGAAAAAGAAAAAAAAGGAAAAAGAGAAACUGAAGUGUAAAAAAAAAAAUUAAAAAAUUUAAAAAAAAAAUAGAAAAAAGAAUAAAACGAAAAUAGAAAAAGAAAAAAAAGAUAUGAGAAAGGAAAAAAAAAAGAGAAAAUAAAGUGGAAAUAAAAAAAUGAAAAAGAAAAAGAAAUCAAAAUAAAAAAAUAAAAUGAUAAAAUGAUAAAAAAGUAGGAUGAAAAAAAACUAAGAAAAAAAGGAAGAUAUACAAGAGAGUGAAAGACAAUAAUGAUGUUUUAUUUUGAAAUCUUGAAGAUCAUGGAGAUAAUUAUCUUUAAAUAUGAAAAAAAAAAACGAAAAAAGAAAAAAAGAAGAAGAGAAAUAGAAGAAAAAAAAUAAAGUGGAAAUAAAAAAAAAAUAAAAUAAAAAAAUAAAAUGAUAAAAAAUAAGAUGAAAAAAAAGGAUAAAAAAUAUGAUUAUAUUUAGGGGAGAUGGAAUAGUGGAGUGAAAAUAGAAAAAUGUAAAGAAGUGAGAGUAAAACAUGCACUUGUCUCAUGAGUAAAAUAAUGCUAAUUUGCUAUAAAUUAUAAUUUUAUAAAAAUAUUGCUAUUUAUUAUAAUUAUAAUCUUAAGUAUGCUACUUUUUGUAAUUUUUUUCUUUCAAAUCUGGCCAGCUUUUGGGCCUAUUUCUUAUGGACUUUUGGUCCAUUUCUGGAAUGCAUACAAACUGCACAUCAGACUUGCUGCUGCUUUAUGCAUACACACUAUAUAUCAGUGUAUUAAAAACUGAUAUCCUCGCUUCUGAUGCUCUUAUACGCUAUAUACCAGCAAUAUUUGACCUGCAAGUCCCGUAUAUUUACUGUAUAUCAACGUAUAUCCACCUUGUUUCUUCACGCUAGUCCCUUUGGGUCUUAGUCUCGGAGAGCUGCAGGGAUGGGAGUCCCCAUUGGACUCGUUAGGAAAAAGUUCAUGCACAAGAGAUAAAAGAAUAAGGAUUAGUACGCGUCUACUAAUAAUAUGAC